Glycine soja is the source of this 1130-nucleotide RNA transcript. RefSeq lists it as uncharacterized. Lineage: Eukaryota; Viridiplantae; Streptophyta; Magnoliopsida; Fabales; Fabaceae. The transcript is spliced from 9 exons. The record is from RefSeq and is a predicted model, not a curated record.
CUUGGCCACACAAUUAUCAAUUACACAAAUAAUUGAGCGAAUGUAUGUGUAUCCACGUUGGUGGUACUGCGAAAGAGAAAACGGAGCAACACAAAGAAGCUUAAUUAAUGUAAAUUAUGAACAUAGGAUAGGAAAUGGCAAAAAUAUGCUGCUGGAGUGGAACACCUCCACUACAACCUUUACAAAAGCAGUUUCGAAGGAAUCACGGCGUCCAAAACUGCUCAAACACUAACACACUGAAUAGGAGGAAGAUAUAUGCAUGCUUGAACAGAGAAAAAGAAAGUGAAACACCUCAGAUAUUGAAAAUAGCGGUGAGCGGGGUAACGGAACUCUUGAGGCUUUUCUCUCCUUCUUCCCAUCAAACAAGCCUUGAGAAACAGAGAGAUCAAAUUGAAUUCCCAGCUUCGAGCGUCGAUGAUGUUCUAAGGAUCAUCAAGUCUGAUUACGACAACGCUUAUUUCGUAACAGGGAACUUCUCUUCUUCAAUUUAUGCUGAGAACUGUAUCUUUGAAGACCCAACUAUUAAAUUUCGCGGUAGGGAGUUAUAUGCGCGCAACUUGAAAUUGCUUGUUCCCUUCUUUGACUCUGCAUCAAUUAUACUACAAAAGAUUGAUAAGGAUGUUGACUCUGACACAAAUUUUGUGCUGGCAUCUUGGAAACUAAGGACCAACUUAAAGCUUCCUUGGAGGCCUCUAAUUUCAAUCGAUGGAAGCACAGUUUAUGAAUUAAAUGAAGAUUACAAAAUUGUUAGACAUGUUGAGAGUUGGAACAUUUCUGCAGUUGAAGCAGUUUUGCAGAUUUUCUCCUUUAAGUCUAAAAACCCAGGUGGUUGAGACAUCGAGUGUCAUGAAAUUAUCCAUGUGUCACUCUCUGUUGGCACUUUCAAACGGAGUCACUUGAAGCAUUGGACAUAAAAUGAUCGUGCCAUAUGUUUUCGCACGGAAGCAAAGGGAGGCGAGAAGACAACUGACUUUUCACAUUAUCCAGUUUUUUCUAUUAAACAGCUGACAUAUAGAUUAUAGAGUGUUAAAUUUAUAUAAAAAAAAAUCCAUAUCAAUAGUUUUAACUGUUGUUUUAUUUGCAUAACAAGUAAAUUGCUUGAUUAUAAUAUCUAUUUAAAUUCAUGGUUG